UAGUCCACACCGUAAACGAUGAGAGCUAGUUGUCUGCAAGCAUGCUUGUAGGUGACGCAGCUAACGCAUUAAGCUCUCCGCCUGGGGAGUACGGUCGCAAGAUUAAAACUCAAAGAAAUUGACGGGGGCCCGCACAAGCGGUGGAACAUGUGGUUUAAUUCGAUGCAACGCGAAGAACCUUAUCCAGGCCUUGACAUGCUUGUCGCGACCUCCAGAGACGGAGGUCUUCAGUUCGGCUGGACAAUGCACAGGUGCUGCAUGGCUGUCGUCAGCUCGUGUCGUGAGAUGUUGGGUUAAGUCCCGCAACGAGCGCAACCCUCAUCCUUUGUUGCCAGCACGUUAUGGUGGGAACUCUAAGGAGACUGCCGGGAGUUAAUCCGGGAGGAAGGUGGGGGAUGGACGUCAAGUCCUCAUGGGCCUUUAUGGGCCUGGGGCUACACACGUGUUACAAUGGCAGUGACAGCGCGCAGCUACUCCGCGAGGGAGGGU
This 489-nucleotide ribosomal RNA is filed under the name uncultured bacterium. RNAcentral's name for it is "bacterial SSU rRNA". It matches the Rfam family "Bacterial small subunit ribosomal RNA", at positions 791 to 1268 of the family's 1533-position model. The record is from RNAcentral.